AUCUUGCUCCUGCCCUGACAGAUUCUCCUAUCGGGGUCACAGGGACGUUAAGAUUGCAACCUGGACUUUCGUUGACCAUGCUGUCCCGGGUGGUACUUUCCGCCGCCGCCACAGCGGCCCCCUCUCUGAAGAAUGCAGCCUUCCUAGGUCCAGGGACCCUAUGUACUCGGAACUGGGCUUAUCUUGUACGCUUUAUCCAAAGAAAUAUACGUGAUUAGCGCAGAGACCUUCACUGCCCUAUCAGUACUAGGUGUAAUGGUCUAUGGAAUUAAAAAAUAUGGUCCCUUUGUUGCAGACUUUGCUGAUAAACUCAAUGAGCAAAAACUUGCCCAACUAGAAGAGGCGAAGCAGGCUUCCAUCCAACACAUCCAGAAUGCAAUUGAUAUGGAGAAGUCACAACAGGCACUGGUUCAGAAGCGCCAUUACCUUUUUGAUGUGCAAAGGAAUAACAUUGCUAUGGCUUUGGAAGUUACUUACCGGGAACGACUGUAUAGAGUAUAUAAGGAAGUAAAGAAUCGCCUGGACUAUCAUAUAUCUGUGCAGAACAUGAUGCGUCGAAAGGAACAAGAACACAUGAUAAAUUGGGUGGAGAAGCACGUGGUGCAAAGCAUCUCCACACAGCAGGAAAAGGAGACAAUUGCCAAGUGCAUUGCGGACCUAAAGCUGCUGGCAAAGAAGGCUCAAGCACAGCCAGUUAUGUAAAUGUAUCUAUCCCAAUUGAGACAGCUAGAAACAGUUGACUGACUAAAUGGAAACUAGUCUAUUUGACAAAGUCUUUCUGUGUUGGUGUCUACUGAAGUUAUAGUUUACCCUUCCUAAAAAUGAAAAGUUUGUUUCAUAUAGUGAGAGAACGAAAUCUCUAUCGGCCAGUCAGAUGUUUCUCAUCCUUCUUGCUCUGCCUUUGAGUUGUUCCGUGAUCACUUCUGAAUAAGCAGUUUGCCUUUGUAAAAACUUGCUGCCUGACUAAAGAUUAACAGGUUAUAGUUUAAAUUUGUAAUUAAUUCUACCAUCUUGCAAUAAAGUGACAAUUGAAUGAAACA
RNAcentral lists this small RNA (1040 nucleotides) under Pan troglodytes (chimpanzee). Its description in RNAcentral is "processed transcript". Lineage: Eukaryota; Metazoa; Chordata; Mammalia; Primates; Hominidae. The record is from RNAcentral.